RNAcentral lists this ribosomal RNA (406 nucleotides) under uncultured bacterium. RNAcentral's name for it is "bacterial SSU rRNA". It matches the Rfam family "Bacterial small subunit ribosomal RNA", at positions 355 to 776 of the family's 1533-position model. The record is from RNAcentral.
UGAGGAAUUUUCCGCAAUGGACGAAAGUCUGACGGAGCAACACCGCGUGAAGGAUGAAGGCCUAUGGGUUGUAAACUUCUUUUCUCAAGGAGGAAGAUCUGACGUUACUUGAGGAAUAAGCAUCGGCUAACCCUGUGCCAGCAGCCGCGGUAAUACAGGGGAUGCGAGUGUUAUCCGGAAUUAUUGGGCGUAAAGCGUCUGCAGGUUGGAAAGUAAGUCUUUUGUUAAAACUCCAGGCUUAACCUGGAAUCUGCAAAAGAAACUUCUUUUCUAGAGUAGGUUAGAGGUAAAGGGAAUUUCCAGUGGAGCGGUGAAAUGCGUAGAGAUUGGAAAGAACACCAAAAGCGAAAGCACUUUACUGGGGCCGUACUGACACUCAGAGACGAAAGCUAGGGGAGCAAACAGG